Small nuclear RNA from Dipodomys ordii (Ord's kangaroo rat), 107 nucleotides. NCBI's taxonomy places the organism in Eukaryota, Metazoa, Chordata, Mammalia, Rodentia, Heteromyidae. The record is from Ensembl.
GGGCUCACUUUGGCAGUACAUAUAUUAAAACUGGAAUGGCAUAGAAAAGAAUAGCAUGGCCCUUGUGCAAGGAUGGCACACAAAUUCAGGAAGCAUUCCCUAUUUUU